CCUACGGGGUGCAGCAGUGAGGAAUAUUGGUCAAUGGACGCAAGUCUGAACCAGCCAUGCCGCGUGCAGGAAGACGGCUCUAUGAGUUGUAAACUGCUUUUGUACGAGGGUAAACGCAGAUACGCGUAUCUGUCUGAAAGUAUCGUACGAUUAAGGAUCGGCUAACUCCGUGCCAGCAGCCGCGGUAAUACGGAGAAUUCAAGCGUUAUCCGGGUUUAUUGGGUUUAAAGGGUGAGUAGGCGGUCGGAUAAGUUAGAGGUGAAAGCCCGAGGCUCAACUUCGGAAUUGCCUUUGAUACUGUUCGGCUAGAGAGUAGUUGCGGUAGGAGGAAUGUAUGGUGUAGCGGUGAAAUGCUUAGAGAUCAUACAGAACACCGAUUGCGAAGGCAGCUUACCAAGCUACGUCUGACGUUGAGGCACGAAAGCGUGGGGAGCAAACAGGAUUAGAUACCCCAGUAGUC
Molecule: ribosomal RNA, 460 nt
Filed under: uncultured bacterium
Lineage: Bacteria
Description: partial 16S ribosomal RNA
Rfam family: Bacterial small subunit ribosomal RNA
Source: RNAcentral